UAAGCAAGAUAUGAAAUCGUACGGCUCAACCGUAUAUCCGUAUUUUGAACUGAUUAACUAGAGGGCGAGAGAGGUUAGUGGAAUUUCUUGUGUAGGAGUGAAAUCCGUAGAUAUAAGAAGGAACACCGAUGGCGUAGGCAGAUAACUGGCUCGCACCUGACACUGAGGCACGAAAGCGUGGGGAGCAAACGGGAUUAGAUACCCCGGUAGUCCACGCCGUAAACUAUGGAUGCUA
RNAcentral lists this ribosomal RNA (235 nucleotides) under uncultured Candidatus Saccharibacteria bacterium. Its description in RNAcentral is "partial 16S ribosomal RNA". It matches the Rfam family "Bacterial small subunit ribosomal RNA", at positions 584 to 818 of the family's 1533-position model. The record is from RNAcentral. Lineage: Bacteria; Candidatus Saccharimonadota.